GCGAGGGUUGCCGAGACAGGUCAAAGGCGCAGGCUUGAGGGGCCUGUCACGCAGGUGUUCGUGGGUUCAAAUCCCUCCCCUCGCA
This is a non-coding RNA of Methanolinea sp. SDB, 85 nucleotides long. Lineage: Archaea; Methanobacteriati; Methanobacteriota; Methanomicrobia; Methanomicrobiales; Methanoregulaceae. The record is from Rfam.